AACGAACGUUGGCGGCAUGCCUAACACAUGCAAGUCGAACGAGACCUUCGGGUCUAGUGGCGCACGGGUGCGUAACGCGUGGGAACCUGCCUUUAGGUUCGGAAUAACUCAGAGAAAUUUGAGCUAAUACCGGAUGAUGUCUUCGGACCAAAGAUUUAUCGCCUUUAGAUGGGCCCGCGUUGGAUUAGCUAGUUGGUGGGGUAAAGGCCUACCAAGGCGACGAUCCAUAGCUGGUCUGAGAGGAUGAUCAGCCACACUGGGACUGAGACACGGCCCAGACUCCUACGGGAGGCAGCAGUGGGGAAUAUUGGACAAUGGGCGAAAGCCUGAUCCAGCAAUGCCGCGUGAGUGAUGAAGGCCUUAGGGUUGUAAAGCUCUUUUACCCGAGAUGAUAAUGACAGUAUCGGGAGAAUAAGCUCCGGCUAACUCCGUG
This 433-nucleotide ribosomal RNA is filed under the name uncultured bacterium. RNAcentral describes it as "partial 16S ribosomal RNA". It matches the Rfam family "Bacterial small subunit ribosomal RNA", at positions 29 to 507 of the family's 1533-position model. The record is from RNAcentral.